Molecule: ribosomal RNA, 253 nt
Filed under: uncultured bacterium
Lineage: Bacteria
Description: partial 16S ribosomal RNA
Rfam family: Bacterial small subunit ribosomal RNA
Source: RNAcentral
UACGUAGGGUGCAAGCGUUGUCCGGAAUUAUUGGGCGUAAAGAGCUCGUAGGCGGUCUGUCGCGUCGGAUGUGAAAACCCGGGGCUUAACCCCGGGCCUGCAUUCGAUACGGGCAGACUCGAGUGUGGUAGGGGAGACUGGAACUCCUGGUGUAGCGGUGAAAUGCGCAGAUAUCAGGAAGAACACCGGUGGCGAAGGCGGGUCUCUGGGCCACUUCUGACGCUGAGGAGCGAAAGCGUGGGGAGCGAACAGG